RNAcentral lists this ribosomal RNA (253 nucleotides) under uncultured bacterium. Its description in RNAcentral is "partial 16S ribosomal RNA". It matches the Rfam family "Bacterial small subunit ribosomal RNA", at positions 524 to 776 of the family's 1533-position model. The record is from RNAcentral.
GACAGAGGGUGCAAACGUUGUUCGGAAUUACUGGGCGUAAAGCGCGCGCAGGCGGUCUUCCAAGUCAGUGGUGAAAGCCCGGAGCUCAACUCCGGAACUGCCAUUGAAACUGUAAGACUUGAGGACGAGAGAGGUGAGUGGAAUUCCCAGUGUAGAGGUGAAAUUCGCAGAUAUCAGGAAGAACACCCGUGGCGAAGACGGCUCUCUGGGACGGUACUGACGCUGAGACGCGAAAGCGUGGGGAGCGAACAGG